Molecule: transfer RNA, 69 nt
Filed under: Parablarinella griselda (Indochinese short-tailed shrew)
Lineage: Eukaryota; Metazoa; Chordata; Mammalia; Eulipotyphla; Soricidae
Description: tRNA-Met
Rfam family: tRNA
About the family: Transfer RNA (tRNA) molecules are approximately 80 nucleotides in length. Their secondary structure includes four short double-helical elements and three loops (D, anti-codon, and T loops).
Source: RNAcentral
AGUAAGGUAAGCUAAGCUAAGCUAUUGGGCCCAUACCCCGAAAAUGUCGGUUAAUACCUUCCCUUACUA